RNAcentral lists this transfer RNA (72 nucleotides) under Primulina tabacum. RNAcentral describes it as "tRNA-Ile". It matches the Rfam family "tRNA". Rfam says of the family: Transfer RNA (tRNA) molecules are approximately 80 nucleotides in length. The record is from RNAcentral. RNAcentral also lists the same sequence under 13 other names. Lineage: Eukaryota; Viridiplantae; Streptophyta; Magnoliopsida; Lamiales; Gesneriaceae.
GGGCUAUUAGCUCAGUGGUAGAGCACGCCCCUGAUAAUUGCGUCGUUUCUGGUUCAAGUCCAGGAUGGCCCA